RNAcentral lists this long non-coding RNA (129 nucleotides) under Ornithorhynchus anatinus (platypus). Its description in RNAcentral is "lncRNA (ENSOANG00000038461.1)". Lineage: Eukaryota; Metazoa; Chordata; Mammalia; Monotremata; Ornithorhynchidae. The record is from RNAcentral.
GGUGAAGACAGAGGGAUCAGAAAGGUACUCCCAGGAUCGGAAUCGAUAAAUCUGAAACUACAACCGUUGGCAACCCCUGAUUGCCGUCACUGCUGACGCGGUCACCCUCCUGAUUCCUGGUGUGACGGA